This 478-nucleotide ribosomal RNA is filed under the name uncultured bacterium. RNAcentral describes it as "SSU rRNA". It matches the Rfam family "Bacterial small subunit ribosomal RNA", at positions 26 to 518 of the family's 1533-position model. The record is from RNAcentral.
AGGACGAACGCUGGCGGCGUGCUUAACACAUGCAAGUCGAGCGAGGCCCUUCCUUCGGGGAGGUGCCCUAGCGGCGAACGGGUGAGUAACACGUGGGCAACCUGCCCCUAGCACUGGGAUAACUCCGGGAAACCGGGGCUAAUACCGGAUAUGACCUUGGAGGGCAUCCUCCUUGGUGUAAAGGAUUCUGGCUAGGGAUGGGCCCGCGGCCUAUCAGCUUGUUGGUGGGGUAACGGCCUACCAAGGCGACGACGGGUAGCCGGCCUGAGAGGGCGACCGGCCACACUGGGACUGAGACACGGCCCAGACUCCUACGGGAGGCAGCAGUGGGGAAUAUUGCACAAUGGGCGAAAGCCUGAUGCAGCGACGCCGCGUGAGGGAUGAAUGCCUUCGGGUUGUAAACCUCUUUCAGCAGGGACGAAGCGAAAGUGACGGUACCUGCAGAAGAAGCACCGGCCAACUACGCGCCAGCAGCCGC